This 472-nucleotide long non-coding RNA is filed under the name Homo sapiens (human). Its description in RNAcentral is "non-protein coding UNC5B-AS1:4". The record is from RNAcentral. Lineage: Eukaryota; Metazoa; Chordata; Mammalia; Primates; Hominidae.
AGGGUAGAAUCCAGCCCCACAAGCGGCGGCGAUGCUAAUCAGGCCGCUAAGAUGGAAAAGCAUCCCCGAAGACCGGGAGGAACGCCGCGGGGACCUGUGGCUUAGCGCGCUCCGCCCGGGCUUGUCUGCCCGCGGGGGCGCAGCGGCUGAGGCGGCUCCGGGCCGGAGUUCCAAUCAAGCGCCACCCAACUCCCAGUCGGGGGCCGAGGCCAGCGCCGGGAUGCCAGCUUCCCCCAAAAAGAUCCUGCCUCAGGGAAAUGCAUGGAGCCGGCGGAAAAGCCCGCGGCGCCCCCGGCGGAUCGCAGACCCUAAGGGGGCGGGAGGUGGCGCCCCAGUCCCAACCUCUUGAGCCAACCCAGUGGGUGGGAAGUGCCCUUACCCUAGGCCUUCCGCAAAGUGUUCUCUCCUUGUAUUAUUCUAAUUACGGUAUUUUUAAUUUCCUUAAAAAAAUAAGAAACAGAAAAGCACAGAA